This 366-nucleotide transfer-messenger RNA is filed under the name Halalkalibaculum roseum. Its description in RNAcentral is "Standard tmRNA". It matches the Rfam family "transfer-messenger RNA". Rfam says of the family: Bacterial tmRNA, also known as 10Sa RNA or SsrA, is named for its dual tRNA and mRNA-like properties. Its role is to liberate the mRNA from a stalled ribosome. The record is from Rfam by way of RNAcentral. Lineage: Bacteria; Pseudomonadati; Balneolota; Balneolia; Balneolales; Balneolaceae.
GGGGGUGUACCGGAUUCGACGGAAUGAGUAAAAUCGCAGGUUGCAUGCCGAGUUUGCGCGAUGACACUCGUUAAAAAGCAUCAUGCAUAUAUGUAAUUGACAACAAUUACUCUUACAGCUUAGCUGCAUAAACAGCUUUGCCGUUCUCUCGGCUUCUUGCCUGUCAGUGCCGUUAGAACGCCGACUAUGAUAGGAUAAUAUGGCAUUCGCCGUCUGUCGGAUGUCAUGUGAGAUUAAAACAGUCUAGUCUGGAGUUGUUUGUUACCGAGCGUAGCUUCAGGCGAAACUCAAUUCGGUAACUAAGCAUGUAGAUACUUGAACGAUAUGCCAUUUCGGACCGGGGUUCGACUCCCCGCACCUCCACUA